AUGGCUGUGACUGAAGGCUGCUGGGUGAGGAGGAGACUGAAACCCCUGGUGCGGAGAGAAGGGCUGAAGGGCACCGGCUGCCAGCUGUGGGACCAGUUCAGGCAGACUCAUGUAUUCCUUCAGCCACUUGCUUGCCCACCUGAGCUUUACACUGCUGGGAGGAGAACUGUUUGAAGCUAAUUAAAUGCUGAGAUCGUGUGCUUGAUGCCUCGCUAUCCUUAACGUGGUCAUGACUGAAUACUGUAAUUAAUUUCUUUUUAUCCUAAAGGAAAAAACAGGAGUAAUUUAAGUUAUGUAAAUCAGUGGUUGAUAACUAUGGUAUUCUCCAGUGUGGAUCUCAUUACCUACCCACACAUGAAACUAGAUGCAGUAAUUGACAGAAGUUAUCUUUGGGCCUCUGUGCACUGACAACACAGAUUAGUUUUUAUGACAGAGUUACUUCUCAUUCCAUGUUCAUCCGUCCAGAUAGUCCCUGGUACUAGAAUAGCAUUCAUGCCCUACAAUCUCAGUGUUUCUAUUAAUAUAAUUUGUCCAAAGUCCAGUGACUUUCAGGGCCUUUAAAUCUACCUUGAAUUAUGUCUUACCUUAGUGAAAGGAUAAUGUGUGGUUGUUAAAGUGAAAGACUUUACUGAAGUUCAGUAUCAAAGGUGUUAUUCUUCUAAACAGUUAUAAAAAUGUUCUUGAAGCUCAUGUUGUAAUAAAAUGUGGAUUACUGACUCCUAUUUGUCUGUG
RNAcentral lists this long non-coding RNA (732 nucleotides) under Numida meleagris (helmeted guineafowl). Its description in RNAcentral is "lncRNA (ENSNMEG00000020321.1)". Lineage: Eukaryota; Metazoa; Chordata; Aves; Galliformes; Numididae. The record is from RNAcentral.